RNAcentral lists this ribosomal RNA (384 nucleotides) under Bradyrhizobium sp. 09LoS40r7_29. RNAcentral describes it as "bacterial LSU rRNA". It matches the Rfam family "Bacterial large subunit ribosomal RNA", at positions 1 to 270 of the family's 2925-position model. Lineage: Bacteria; Pseudomonadati; Pseudomonadota; Alphaproteobacteria; Hyphomicrobiales; Nitrobacteraceae. The record is from RNAcentral.
AAUCAAGUGCCUUAAGGGUGUUCGGUGGAUGCCUUGGCGCUGAGAGGCGAUGAAGGACGUGCUACGCUGCGAUAAGCCGUGGGGAGCUGCGAAGAAGCUUUGAUCCGCGGAUUUCCGAAUGGGGAAACCCACCUUCGAUAGCCGGAACUCCAAGACCUCAGUCGAAAGACUGCGGUGUGGGGUUCGACCAGAUAAUGGAAGAUUCCUGGCCUUUAGAUUUCGAUCGAAGAGGUUUUGGAUUUCCGGUUAUCAAGAGAAGGUAUGAGACUUCUGAAUACAUAGGAGGUUUCAAGCAAACCCAGGGAACUGAAACAUCUAAGUACCUGGAGGAAAGGACAUCAACAGAGACUCCGUUAGUAGUGGCGAGCGAACGCGGACCAGGCC